This 463-nucleotide ribosomal RNA is filed under the name uncultured bacterium. RNAcentral's name for it is "bacterial SSU rRNA". It matches the Rfam family "Bacterial small subunit ribosomal RNA", at positions 340 to 793 of the family's 1533-position model. The record is from RNAcentral.
UACGGGAGGCAGCAGUGGGGAAUAUUGCACAAUGGGCGCAAGCCUGAUGCAGCCAUGCCGCGUGUAUGAAGAAGGCCUUCGGGUUGUAAAGUACUUUCAGCAGUGAGGAAGGUGGGUAUGUUAAUAGCAUAUUCAUUUGACGUUUAGCUGCAGAAGAAGCACCGGCUAACUCCGUGCCAGCAGCCGCGGUAAUACGGAGGGUGCGAGCGUUAAUCGGAAUUACUGGGCGUAAAGCGCAUGCAGGUGGUUUGUUAAGUCAGAUGUGAAAGCCCGGGGCUCAACCUCGGAAUUGCAUUUUGAAACUGGCAAACUAGAGUACUGUAGAGGGGGUAGGAAUUUCAGGUGUAGCGGUGAAAUGCGUAGAGAUCUGAAGGAAUACCGGUGGCGAAGGCGGCCCCCUGGACAGAUACUGACACUCAGAUGCGAAAGCGUGGGGAGCAAACAGGAUUAGAUACCCUGGUAG